Molecule: transfer RNA, 72 nt
Filed under: Camelus bactrianus (Bactrian camel)
Lineage: Eukaryota; Metazoa; Chordata; Mammalia; Artiodactyla; Camelidae
Also listed under: 2 other names
Rfam family: tRNA
About the family: Transfer RNA (tRNA) molecules are approximately 80 nucleotides in length. Their secondary structure includes four short double-helical elements and three loops (D, anti-codon, and T loops). Further hydrogen bonds mediate the characteristic L-shaped molecular structure. tRNAs have two regions of fundamental functional importance: the anti-codon, which is responsible for specific mRNA codon recognition, and the 3' end, to which the tRNAs corresponding amino acid is attached (by aminoacyl-tRNA synthetases). tRNAs cope with the degeneracy of the genetic code in two manners: having more than one tRNA (with a specific anti-codon) for a particular amino acid; and 'wobble' base-pairing, i.e. permitting non-standard base-pairing at the 3rd anti-codon position.
Source: Rfam by way of RNAcentral
GAGGGUAUGAUUCAGUGCUAGAGCACAUGCUUAGUGUGCAUGAGGUCCUGGGUUCAAUCCCCAGCACCUCCA